UUUUCACCGUAGCUCUAUCCCACAGCUGCAGUAGUGUUUCUUCUCUCGUCUCUCCCCCUCCCCACUCCCGCACCUCUCCGCACGGCACCCGAACCCUUCAACCCUUCACGCGCGCGCCCCUCCCCUCUCCGCUUCGAUCCGAAUGGAGGCCGGGCGUGGCGGCGGGAGGCUGCCGAAGAUGGAGUCGGCGGAGAUGCGGUGGGUGGUCCCGGGGGGCGCCUACGACGAGGACGAGAUCGAGAGCGCAGACGACGACGACGGCGGCGGCGCCGACACCCCUGCGGCCGCCUCGGGCUCCCACAGCGGCGGGUGCUCGGACGAGGACAACUACGAGGAGGACGAGAUGCUGCGCCAGCGCCUCGUGCGCACGGGCCCGCGCGCCGACUCCUUCGACGUCGAGGCGCUCGAUGUCCCCGGCGUGUAUCGCCACCAGGAAUUUACCUUAGGCAGGAGUAUUGUGCUAACUCUUCAGACGCUAGGCGUUGUCUUUGGGGAUGUUGGUACAAGCCCGCUGUAUACCUUUGAUAUAAUGCUCAACAAAUACCCUAUUACUUCAAAGGAGGAUGUGCUUGGAGCACUCUCACUUGUAAUAUACACUCUCAUUCUAAUACCAUUUCUGAAGUAUACUCUGAUUGUUUUGCGGGGAAACGAUGAUGGAGAAGGAGGGAUGUUUGCUUUAUACUCACUAAUAUGCAGAAAUGCAAAGGCAAGUCUGCUUCCUAACCAACUACCUUCUGAUACCCGUAUAUCAAGUUUCCAUCUGAAGGUGCCUUCGGUAGAACUUGAGAGGUCUUUGAAGAUCAAGGAGCGUCUUGAGACUUCAUCUAUGCUAAGGAAACUGCUUUUGAUGCUUGUUCUAUUUGGUACUUCUAUGGUCAUAGCAGAUGGUGUUGUCACACCGGCAAUGUCAGUGAUGUCUGCCGUUAAUGGCUUGAAGGUUGGAAUAUCUAGUGUUAAUGAAGGUGAAGUAGUCAUGAUAACUGUUGCAUUUCUUAUUGUUCUGUUCAGUCUACAAUGUUUUGGAACGAGCAAAGUGGGGCUUGCUGUUGGGCCUGCGUUGUUCAUAUGGUUUUGCUGCCUUGCUGGGAUAGGAAUUUAUAACAUCAGGACAUUUGGUUCAGAAGUAUUACAUGCAUUCAAUCCUGUGUAUGUAUACUAUUAUUUUGAAAGAAAUUCCACUCAAGCUUGGAUGUCCCUUGGAGGCUGCCUUUUAUGCGCAACAGGAUCUGAAGCAAUGUUUGCUGAUUUAUGCUACUUCUCUGUUAGAUCUGUUCAGCUUACCUUUGCGUGUCUUGUUCUUCCAUGUCUUCUACUGGGAUAUCUAGGGCAAGCUGCAUUUCUUAUGGAAAAUUUAACUGAAAAUCAGCAUGUCUUCUUUUUGUCUAUCCCAAGUCAGGCAUUUUGGCCAGUGGUAUUCAUAGCUACUCUUGCAGCACUAAUUGCUAGUCGUGCAAUGACAACUGCUAUAUUCUCAACUAUAAAGCAGGCAACAGCUCUUGGCUGCUUUCCACGCCUCAAAAUUAUUCACACCUCUAGAAAGUUCAUGGGUCAAAUAUACAUCCCGGUGAUGAACUGGUUUUUGCUGGUUUCUUGUCUGGCAUUUGUUACGGUAUUUGGGAGCAUAAACGAGAUUGGCAAUGCAUAUGGCAUAGCUGAACUUGGGGUCAUGAUGAUGACUACUGUCCUGAUAACCAUUAUAAUGCUUCUGAUAUGGCAGGUCAACAUCAUUGUAGUUCUAUGCUUUCUCACCCUCUUCCUGGGGCUCGAGUUAUUUUUCUUUUCCUCAGUUUUGGGAAGUGGAGCAGAUGGAAGUUGGGUUCUUUUGGUAUUUGCAGCUGUACUGUAUUUGGUAAUGCACAUAUGGAACUAUGGAACCAAGUUGAAGUACGAAACUGAGGUCAAGCAAAAACUUUCGAUGGAUUUGUUGAUGCAACUAGGCUGCAAUCUUGGUACAGUGAGAGCACCUGGAAUCGGAUUGCUUUACAAUGAACUGGUGAGGGGAGUUCCUGCAAUCUUUGGUCACUUCCUCACCACACUGCCAGCCAUUCAUUCAAUGAUCAUUUUUGUCUGCAUCAAAUGGGUCCCAGUUCCUGUUGUGCCUCAGAAUGAGAGGUUUCUCUUUCGUCGGGUCUACCCAGAGAGCUACCAUAUGUUCCGCUGCAUUGCUAGGUAUGGGUACAAGGAUGUGCGCAAGGAGAACCCCCAAGCAUUCGAACAGCUUCUGAUAGAAAGCCUUGAGAAGUAUAUACGCCGAGAUGCUCAAGAACGCUCCCUAGAGAGCGAUCAUAAUGAUGACACAGACUCUGAAGAGGAGGUCGCGUCUGCGUCAUCUAGAGUUAUAGUUGGUCCAAACGGUAGCAUCUACUCUCUUGGUGUUCCACUACUUGCUGAGUCUGCCAGUGCUGGUAACUCAACCCUGGGAUCAGGCAUGUCAUUUGAUGGAUCUCUGGAUGAGGCAAUGGACGGAAGGCGAAGCCUAGACAACGAACUCUCUUUCAUUCACAAGGCCAAGGAGUCAGGCGUGGUGUACCUUCUUGGACACGGCGACAUAAGAGCUCGGAAGGAGUCGUUCUUUGUCAAGAAGCUCGUGAUAAACUAUUUCUACGCGUUCUUGAGGAAGAACUGCAGGAGGGGCAUAGCAACAUUGAGUAUACCGCACACAAGGCUGAUGCUGGUGGCGAUGCAAUACAUGGUUUAGGGUUUUCUACACCCCCUUUUUUCCCCUUCGAUGGACAUGAUACUAACUCGCGGCUGUAGAUACCGAGAAUGAACAGGCACUGCUAUUGAUUGCCCAGCUGCACCAAUCAGGAGUAAGGUCGGCUCCCUGCACGGCCGCGUACCUGCUGCAGAUCGACUGGGGUAAGAUCCAUGCUCUUCAAUACCGAUCACUACGCGUGCUGGCCAAACAGCUUAAUCGAUCGCCCAGUGCCGUAGUCUUCUCUGGCAGCAGGUACCGACUGGAGCCUGAUGAGGAGCGUAGUCGGUGGACAGCAAGAGCAGAUAGUAGCCUCUUAUGUUGCACCAGGGUCUGUUUGGUAAAGUUUUUAGAGUAGUUUUUUUAAAAAAA
RNA transcript from Phragmites australis (common reed), 3067 nucleotides. It is a transcript of the gene named probable potassium transporter 14, with no coding region annotated. The transcript is spliced from 11 exons. NCBI's taxonomy places the organism in Eukaryota, Viridiplantae, Streptophyta, Magnoliopsida, Poales, Poaceae. The record is from RefSeq and is a predicted model, not a curated record.